This 510-nucleotide ribosomal RNA is filed under the name cf. Macrorhynchia sp. MZUCR 2445. RNAcentral describes it as "partial 16S ribosomal RNA". It matches the Rfam family "Bacterial large subunit ribosomal RNA", at positions 1861 to 2549 of the family's 2925-position model. The record is from RNAcentral. Lineage: Eukaryota; Metazoa; Cnidaria; Hydrozoa; Leptothecata; Aglaopheniidae.
GCCCAAUGGUUUAAGUAAUUUUUUAAAAUAAAUAUAAAAAACUAAAUGGCUGCAGUAACUAUGACUGUAUGAAUGUAGCAUAAUCAUUCGCCACUUAAUUAGUGGAUAGUAUGAAUGGUUAAACGAAAAUUUCUCUGUCUUAUGUAAUACAAAAAAAAAUUUAAAUCAUAGUUAAGAUGCUAUGUAAAAUUGUAAGACGAAAAGACCCUAUAAAGCUUAACUAAAAUCUUUUAAAAAAAUUAAAAUAAAAAAUAACAAUAAAAGAAGGAUAGUUUCAUUGGGGCGAUGGUCUCUAAAAAAAAACAGAGGCAUACUAUAUUAAUAAAAAAAUUUACUGUGUAAUAAAUUAAUUUAACAGUUACAAAGUAGGUUAUAACGACCCAUUGUUUUCAAAAAAAAGAAACAAUGAUCAAAAAAUAAAAGCUACUUUAGGGAUAACAGGAUAAUUUUUUCUAAGAGUCCUUAUCGAAGAAAAAGUUUAUUACCUCGAUGUUGAAUUGAGAUAACCUA